AAUAACUCAUAGAAGGUGUUUUAAAUACUCUUGUUAGUUACCAUGUUGCAAACAUUUAAGUUAAACCUCCAUGUAUUAACAUUUAGAUGUAUUCACAGGGGGAUAUGAAAUGAGAUGAAGGAAGCCCUGCAAAAACUAUCUAGUUGUUACUACUUGAAGAAUAUCGAAGGAACUAUUCAUGGCCGGUUAAAAUUGUGCUACUGAAAUAAUCUAGGGGGAUAUGAAAUGAGAUGAAGGAAGCCCUGCAAAAACUAUCUAGUUGUUACUACUUGAAGAAUAUCGAAGGAACUAUUCAUGGCCGGUUAAAAUUGUGCUACUGAAAUAAUCUAGGUUAGUUUGAAAAUCCUAAUGUCUGUUGCUAGUGGAGAAGGGGGGGAUUUUUAUGGACAUUGGGGCAUUGAACAAAGCCAUUAGUUAUUU
Molecule: long non-coding RNA, 420 nt
Organism: Homarus americanus (American lobster)
Lineage: Eukaryota; Metazoa; Arthropoda; Malacostraca; Decapoda; Nephropidae
Exons: 4
Source: RefSeq, a predicted model, not a curated record